RNAcentral lists this ribosomal RNA (255 nucleotides) under uncultured bacterium. RNAcentral's name for it is "partial 16S ribosomal RNA". It matches the Rfam family "Bacterial small subunit ribosomal RNA", at positions 524 to 776 of the family's 1533-position model. The record is from RNAcentral.
UACGUAGGGUGCAAGCGUUUGUCCGGAAUUAUUGGGCGUAAAGAGCUUGUAGGCGGUUUGUCGCGUCUGCUGUGAAAUUUCGGGGCUCAACCCCGAACUUGCAGUGGGUACGGGCAGACUAGAGUGUGGUAGGGGAGACUGGAAUUCCUGGUGUAGCGGUGAAAUGCGCAGAUAUCAGGAGGAACACCGAUGGCGAAGGCAGGUCUCUGGGCCAUAACUGACGCUGAGAAGCGAAAAGCAUGGGGAGCGAACAGG